Molecule: ribosomal RNA, 253 nt
Filed under: uncultured Cytophaga sp.
Lineage: Bacteria; Pseudomonadati; Bacteroidota; Cytophagia; Cytophagales; Cytophagaceae
Description: partial 16S ribosomal RNA
Rfam family: Bacterial small subunit ribosomal RNA
Source: RNAcentral
UACGUAGGUGGCAAGCGUUGUCCGGAUUUAUUGGGUUUAAAGGGUGCGUAGGCGGUUGAUUAAGUCAGUUGUGAAAUACGGUAGCUCAACUAUCGAGGUGCAAUUGAUACUGGUUGACUUGAGUACAGACGAGGUAGGCGGAAUUGACGGUGUAGCGGUGAAAUGCAUAGAUAUCGUCAAGAACACCGAUAGCGAAGGCAGCUUACUAGACUGUAACUGACGCUGAGGCACGAAAGUGUGGGGAUCAAACAGG